AUUGAACGCUGGCGGCAGGCCUAACACAUGCAAGUCGAGCGGCGCGGCGGACGGGUGAGUAAUGCCUAGGAAUCUGCCUGGUCGCGGGGGAUAACGUCAGGAAACGGACGCUAAUACCGCUUACUUUCACAUGAGCAUAGGGCGGAUUAGCUAGUGGGUGGGGUAAAGGCAUACCAAGGCGACGUUCCGUAACUGGUCUGAGAGGAUGAUCAGUCACACUGGAACUGAGACACGGUCCAGACUCCUACGGGAGGCAGCAGUGGGGAAUAUUGGACAAUGGGCGAAAGCCUGAUCCAGCCAGGCCGCGUGUGUGAAGAAGGUCUUCGGAUUGUAAAGCACUUUAAGUUGGGAGGCGUUACCAACAGAAUAAGCACCGGCUAACUUCGUGCCAGCAGCCGCGGUAAUUC
RNAcentral lists this ribosomal RNA (407 nucleotides) under uncultured bacterium. RNAcentral's name for it is "partial 16S ribosomal RNA". It matches the Rfam family "Bacterial small subunit ribosomal RNA", at positions 30 to 526 of the family's 1533-position model. The record is from RNAcentral.